This 186-nucleotide ribosomal RNA is filed under the name Triticum aestivum (bread wheat). RNAcentral's name for it is "partial small subunit ribosomal RNA". The record is from RNAcentral. Lineage: Eukaryota; Viridiplantae; Streptophyta; Magnoliopsida; Poales; Poaceae.
CUGCGACGAGGCCUCUCCUCCUUGGCCAUCCUCUCGGGCUGGUGCCUUUGGAAGCACCGCAACCGAUGCCUGUUCGACGGCGAUCGACCCUCCAUCAGCUACAUCGUCCACGCCGUCCAGGAGGAGGCCCGGCUUUGGGCACGCGCCAGCGCCACAGGGUUAACGCACAUCAUACCCGAGACGUAG